RNAcentral lists this ribosomal RNA (493 nucleotides) under uncultured Glomus. RNAcentral describes it as "SSU rRNA". It matches the Rfam family "Eukaryotic small subunit ribosomal RNA", at positions 569 to 1066 of the family's 1831-position model. Lineage: Eukaryota; Fungi; Glomeromycota; Glomeromycetes; Glomerales; Glomeraceae. The record is from RNAcentral.
AGCAGCCGCGGUAAUUCCAGCUCCAAUAGCGUAUAUUAAAGUUGUUGCAGUUAAAAAGCUCGUAGUUGAAUUUCGGGACCAAUAUGUCGGUCGUGCCUCGGUACGUACUGGUGUCAUUGGUUUCUCCCUUCUGAGGAUCCUUGAUGUCAUUAAUUUGGUGUCUUGGGGAAUCAGGACUGCUACCUUGAAAAAUUAGAGUGUUUAAAGCAGGCAUACGCUUGAAUACAUUAGCAUGGAAUAAUGAAAUAGGACGUUCGAUUCUAUUUUGUUGGUUUCUAGGAUCGACGUAAUGAUUAAUAGGGAUAGUUGGGGGCAUUAGUAUUCAAUUGUCAGAGGUGAAAUUCUUGGAUUUAUUGAAGACUAACUACUGCGAAAGCAUUUGCCAAGGAUGUUUUCAUUAAUCUAAGAACGAAAGUUAGGGGAUCGAAGACGAUCAGAUACCGUCGUAGUCUUAACCAUAAACUAAUGCCGACUAGGGAUCGGAUGAUGUUAA